UACGUAGGAGGCAAGCGUUGUCCGGAUUUAUUGGGCGUAAAGCGCGUGUAGGCGGCCCGGUAAGUCCGCUGUGAAAGUCGGGGGCUCAACCCUCGGAUGCCGGUGGAUACUGUCGGGCUAGAGUGCGGGAGAGGCGAGUGGAAUUCCUGGUGUAGCGGUGAAAUGCGCAGAUAUCAGGAGGAACACCAAUUGCGAAGGCAGCUCGCUGGAACGUUACUGACGCUGAGACGCGAAAGCGUGGGGAGCAAACAGG
RNAcentral lists this ribosomal RNA (253 nucleotides) under uncultured bacterium. RNAcentral's name for it is "partial 16S ribosomal RNA". It matches the Rfam family "Bacterial small subunit ribosomal RNA", at positions 524 to 776 of the family's 1533-position model. The record is from RNAcentral.